UGGGAGACACACUGCUAAGGGGAGAACUGGGGAGCCCCAGAGCCGCAGCUCAGCAUGAGACCUCCGAGGAAACAAGGAGACGUGAGUGCCUCUGGCUGCACGGGCCUGGGCAUAGCUUCUCACUAUUCUGCAGCUGAGGGGGUCACCCCAUUGCCUCACCAAGAAGCAGGGAGAGCUAUAAAUCCACACCAGGGACAGCUCCAGAUGGCAAGAGUUUUCUCGUUCUUUGGCUUCCCUGGGUAUGGUCCGCUCUUGCCAGGGAUCUACAAUCACCUGUAAUCUACCUUCCCAAGGAGCAGUGGUGGAUCACUGGGAUCUGCCUCACCUCAUGGCAGGCAAAUGGAAGAAAGCUGUUCUUUCCUUAGGAAUGAAAGAUUUAACUAAUGCACUCACCUACUUACAGUGAAUAUCUCUGUCUUUUAAAAAUUAUCUUUAAUUGUGGUAAGAUACACAAAAAAAUUUGUAAUCUUAACCGUUUUUCAGUAUACAAUUCGGUAGUGUUAAGGAUAUUCAUGGUAUUGUAUGACCAAUCUCUGGAAAGUUUCUGUCUUGUAAAACUGAAACUCUAUUCCCAUUAAACAACUCU
Long non-coding RNA from Sapajus apella (tufted capuchin), 586 nucleotides. RefSeq lists it as uncharacterized. The transcript is spliced from 3 exons. The record is from RefSeq and is a predicted model, not a curated record. NCBI's taxonomy places the organism in Eukaryota, Metazoa, Chordata, Mammalia, Primates, Cebidae.